CACCUCUCUUGAUCACCUUCGUGCAAAGUCGUCGUCAAUAUCAAUCAAUCCCUUUUUCUUGUUACAGAACCUGGAGCUCAGAUUUUGAAUGAAGAGACUGAAAGAUGUGGUUUGAUGUAUAGCUAAAGCUUAUAUACACAAAAAACUGCACGAAGUUGUUUCCUUUCCUCCUUAGGAAUACUAAUUGUUAAUUUUACUAAUUAUGUGGGGAUUCCUUAUUUCCAACAAUAAAAUCCCAAUUAAAUUAGGAUUCAAAAUUUUCCAUAUGAAAAUUCUCUACACUUUGUCCUAUACACACACACACAUGCAGGCGCACAAAAGAGUUGUAUUGCAAGAAAGAAGAAUAAGCAACGCUCUCCAAGGUGGAAGGACUUUUUUUUGUCGAUUUUGUAGGUACGCAAUAAAUUGGGAACUCAAUGGAAAUUAAUACCAAGGAGGAGGAAGAGCAACCAACGCAGUGGAAAAAACCAGACCUUUUUCGACAUCUCAGAAUGGAGUUACCAUGUAAAAAACAUUCCAGAGUUGCAAGGUAAACUCUUGUGGGAUCAGUUUUGCCAACAUCACCUUAUGGAGGAAGUACUGAUUCACUAGGUGGAAGCAGAUCAAGCCCUUCGGUUUCAGGAAUCAAUACUUCAAAUUUUGUGUUACGAAGUGGCUAUACUUGCCAACAACUUUCUUGCUUGUUGAUCCAAGCCUGUGGUCUCUUACUAGCGCAGCUCCCUCCUGACUUUCAUGUGCAACUUUAUAUGGAGGCAUCGCGUAUAAUAAAAGAGAGCUGGUGGCUUACUGAUGGCAAAAGGUCACUUGGGGAACUGGACUCUGCUGUUGGCUAUGCUUUGUUGGAUCCAACAUGGGCUGCUCAGGACAACACCUCAACAGCCAUUGGUAACAUGAUCGCCCUGCUACAUUCUUUGUUUAGCAACCUCCCACGGGAAUGGCUAGAAAGAACACAGGCUAUCAUUAAACAUCUCAGGCCGCUAACAUCAGUUGCAAUGUUGAGGAUAGCAUUCCGUAUAAUGAGUCCAUUGCUCCCAAGACUUGCUAAUGCUCACACGCUCUUCAAUAAGGUAUAAAAGCUACUCAUUAGUUUCUAUCUCCUCUUAAAUGUUCACUAGGUGAGAUUGUGAUUAUGACAUGUCCAUGGCCAACUCGUUGUGCCUUGUUUACUCUGUGAUGAACUAUCCCACCAUGCUUGUACCAUGAAUUUCUUGAGUUGUUAAAUCUACAAAAUUUGUAACUAGGUAAAUAAGCUGAAAAAUGCUGGAGCUUUAGUUUUUCUGGUGCCAUAUCUUUAUCACUAAAGUCAUCAUACCUUGUGAUGGAGGACAGCUUAGGAUUAAUGUCCACAAAAGAUUCAUGUGAGCUAGGGUUAGUGCUUGUUGGAUUAGGUUUGUGUAGGAUUUGCUUAGACAAAAUAGGAUGGAACAGAACUGUUAACAGUAACUCCGAUACAGUAGCAGCAGACCUUCAAGGCAAGGAAGAAUAAUUGGGGGAAAAUAGAACAACAAGAGUUGGAAGAAAAACUCUAGGCUCCUAAGCUUCAAAAAAUCUUUGAACUCAAUUUUAUUUCAUAAUUCACCUCUAAGGUAAACAGCGUGAUUCUGUAAUUCUUUUCGGUCUAUUAAUAUGAUUUCUUUAUCUGAAAAAAGGAACAGCAAAAUAGAUGCAUAACUAAUCCUUACUUGACUGGGUGAGCAUUAGAAUAGGAAUAUAUACUAUUAAAGAUUGAGACACCAAAUUCCUAAGCAAGGCUAGGACCUUCUAGUAAAUCAAAAUUUCAAAUAUCCUUGUUGGAAUAUGCAGAACUUAUAGUUCUGCCCCUGCUUAAAAAAAUCACCCGUAACUUAGAACAUUAAACCCCAAACCAAGAAAUCUACACUUCUUGAUUGAUGAAUAACCAAUUGAUCGAGCCUUGGGUUUGAGGUUCAUUUUUUAGUUUGAAAAAAUAGCCACCCCAUCGCCUUAUGUAGAGUUGGCAAGUUGAUAGUGUGAUGUAGAAUGAUACGAGAUGCGUCUUGAAUUUGUUGACUCGACUUGCUCCAUGAAGUGACAGGGUAAAUUAAACAGGAAAUGAAAAAAAAAGAUGAAAAAGAAAAGGAGAGGAGAGAGGGAGAGGGAAUCCUGAUGGUUGCCAAGGUAUUGGGCUGAUAAGCCUUGACCAGUGCUGUUUUUCCUCUUAAUUUAGCAAAUCUGAUCUUAAGUUUUUAGGUAGAAAGUAGGUGGGGAUGUAAAUUUGAAUCAGAUGGUAGCAAGUAGAAGAUGCCAAUAGACAACAGAGGAUGAAUUGAGGAAGGACAGGUGAGAUGAAGAGAAUUGUUAGGAAAAUGACUUUCGAUGUGGAACAACCUUUACAUACUACCCAAGUCUGGUGAAAACACUAUACCCCAAUUUAAGAACAGGGUCUAUUGUAUCAGGUGCAUCAUUCUCCUUCACGUAAUAUGCUUUAUCUGAUUUGGUCUACACAAGGGUGGUUGUUUUUGGGAAGUGGGGGUAAAGACUAGAAACUAUUGAUUUACAAGACUGCUUUGGAUAAUCAUAUAUAAAAUUAUUAGGUCUUAAAGAACUUGAUUGCAGUGACCUGCGCACAAACACAGGAAUCCAUGUGAUUUUGUCUUAGGGCUUGCAUCAAUGAAAAUGACGAAAUCUUGUUAUAUUACAAAGGGGGAAGAUCAAAUGCAAUAAUUGUUACCUGAAUCUGGUGAACCCCAUGUGCGAAAAGACAAGAAAAAACACAUUAAUAGCCAAAAGGGAGGAAUCCCAGCUGCUAAUCACAUUAUCACUGUAGACAUCAUGCAAUUUUCCAUUUUAUUACCCCCAGUUUUUCAUGGCUAUAUCAUGAAGUAAGUCAGAUAAAGGAAUUGAAGGCACGGCAUUGCAGUCUUUUGUCAAUGAUGAUGAUUUUAUGAAUCUUGGACUUUUAUUUUCUAUAUGGUGCUUGAAGUCUGAGUGAAACUUUUGUUGGUUUCUUUUAUCUUAUACAUGGUGGCGCCCCUUUGUUGCCUUCCAGCAUAUAUUAAUUUUUCACUUGUGAAGAGGAGCAAAAAAAAAAAGGCAAGAAUCAUGAUGGUCACACACAAAUUUGACCAUAAGAACCUUGCCUUUUUUCAAAUUAUUUUCGUCGUUCUGCCAAGUCAAUUAACAGUUUUGAAAUCCUUGUUUCACCAUGAGGACAUUGCCUUCUGAAUAUUCUCUUACUGGUUUGGGUUCAUAAUUCCCUUUUAUGUUUGAUUUUUCUCGACCAUCUUUUUUCAGACCCUCUCGUUGCUUUUAAAUACAAUGGUUGAUGUUUUUGGGAGGAGUUCACAGACAUCAACUGCUGUUGAAGCAUCAGAAAUUGCAGAUCUCAUUGACUUUCUGCGAGUGCAAGCUUCUUGGAACUUUCUUUUAUAUGCUUUGAAAUUCUAUGUGUUCAAAGAAUUUACUUUAACAAAACUCUUGUGUGUGUCAGCCAUCAUGUUGUCCAUUAUGAAGGGCAGGGAGGUCCUGUCCAGCCUAACAGCAAGCCUAAAUCAGAGGUUCUUGCCCUUUGUGGGAAGGCAGCAGAAAGUCUACGUCUAGAUUUACAGCAUCUUCUUUCCCACUUGAAACCUGACACGAAUUCUUCCAUAUAUGCUGCCACUCAUCCAAAGCUGGUCCAGGAUCCCCCAUGUCCUUUGGGUUUAAGCAUUCUUCAUGAGCCGAUCAUGAGAUGGCUAUACCCUCUUAAUUGAACUAGCUCUAUAUCCUCUGGGUUCUUCAUACAGCAGAUUAAUUUUGACAUGUUAUAAAUAUCUUUAUAUAAUAAAUAUGAAUAGAUUAAUUUA
Populus trichocarpa (black cottonwood) is the source of this 3803-nucleotide RNA transcript. RefSeq lists it as uncharacterized. The transcript has 2 exons. The record is from RefSeq and is a predicted model, not a curated record. Lineage: Eukaryota; Viridiplantae; Streptophyta; Magnoliopsida; Malpighiales; Salicaceae.